Molecule: transfer RNA, 69 nt
Filed under: Ictidomys tridecemlineatus (thirteen-lined ground squirrel)
Lineage: Eukaryota; Metazoa; Chordata; Mammalia; Rodentia; Sciuridae
Description: Spermophilus tridecemlineatus (thirteen-lined ground squirrel) tRNA
Rfam family: tRNA
About the family: Transfer RNA (tRNA) molecules are approximately 80 nucleotides in length. Their secondary structure includes four short double-helical elements and three loops (D, anti-codon, and T loops).
Source: Rfam by way of RNAcentral
GGGGUUGUGGCUCAAUGGCAGAGCAUGUGCCUAGCAUGUACGAGGUCCUGGGUUUGAGUCUCAGCACCA